UACGGGGGGGGCAAGCGUUGUCCGGAUUCAUUGGGCGUAAAGAGCGUGUAGGCGGCCAGGUAGGUCGGUUGUGAAAACUGGAGGCUCAACCUUCAGAGGUCGACCGAAACCAUCUGGCUAGAGUCCGGGAGAGGAGAGUGGAAUUCCUGGUGUAGCGGUGAAAUGCGCAGAUAUCAGGAAGAACACCCGUGGCGAAAGCGGCUCUCUGGAACGGUACUGACGCUGAGACGCGAAAGCGUGGGGAGCGAACAGG
This 253-nucleotide ribosomal RNA is filed under the name uncultured bacterium. Its description in RNAcentral is "partial 16S ribosomal RNA". It matches the Rfam family "Bacterial small subunit ribosomal RNA", at positions 524 to 776 of the family's 1533-position model. The record is from RNAcentral.